UACGUAGGGUGCAAGCGUUGUCCGGAAUUAUUGGGCGUAAAGAGCUCGUAGGCGGUUUGUCGCGUCUGCUGUGAAAACUCGGGGCUUAACCCCGGGCCUGCAGUGGGUACGGGCAGACUAGAGUGCGGUAGGGGAGACUGGAAUUCCUGGUGUAGCGGUGAAAUGCGCAGAUAUCAGGAGGAACACCGGCGGCGAAGGCGGGUCUCUGGGCCGUAACUGACGCUGAGGCGCGAAAGCUAGGGGAGCAAACGGG
This 253-nucleotide ribosomal RNA is filed under the name uncultured bacterium. Its description in RNAcentral is "partial 16S ribosomal RNA". It matches the Rfam family "Bacterial small subunit ribosomal RNA", at positions 524 to 776 of the family's 1533-position model. The record is from RNAcentral.